UAAGCCGGAAGGAAUACCCAUCACCCAUACAAGUUAAGUCAAUGAAGAUGACUGUCACCCCUAAACUUUUGGAGGUGAUCAAAGAGGCUCAAAUGAAAUCCUUAAAUGGUGAUCCGAAGAAGGAAAGAAUGAAAGGCCUGAUUGGGGAAUUAAAGAUGAAUGCUGAUGGCAUCAUGACCAGGUAUGACCGAAUCUGGGUACCUUGGUUAUCUGAAGUAAAAUCAUUAUUGCUAGAGGAGGCUCACAAAUCUCGUUAUACGGUACACCCUGGAGCUACAAAAAUGUAUCAAGAUUUAAAGAAAGGGUAUUGGUGGCCUGGAAUGAAACGUGACAUUGUUAAGUACGUGGCUAAGUGCAUGACGUGUUCCCAAGUGAAGGCGGAGCACCAAAAACCGUAUGGUAAAUUGCAAUCUUUAGAGAUACCAGUUUGGAAGUGGGAAGACAUAACCAUGGAUCUUGUUACAAAGCUUCCCAGAACGAAACGAGGUCAUGACGCGAUUUGGGUCAUAGUUGAUCGACUCACAAAGAGUGCUCACUUUCUACCCAUACGAGAAACUAUUUCAUCCGAGAAGUUGGCAGAAAUUUACAUGAAUGAAAUAAUUGUUCGUCACGGAGUACCCGUGUCUAUUGUGUCGGAUCGUGACACAAGAUUCACGUCUCGAUUUUGGCGAAAGUUUCACGAAGACGUGGGCACGAAUUUGCGAUUAAGUACCGCCUACCAUCCGCAGACGGAUGGACAGUCGGAAAGAACUAUACAAACGUUACUAGAUAUGUUGAGGGCUUGUGUCAUAGACCUUGGGGGUAAUUGGGACAACCAUUUACCGUUAGUAGAGUUCGCGUACAACAACAGUUAUCAAAGUAGCAUCAAAAUGGCGCCAUACGAAAUGUUGUACGGUAGAAAGUGUAGAACUCCUGUAUGCUGGGGAGAAAUCGGGCAACGGGAACUCGCGCCUAAAGAUGUUGUGGCAAUAACGAAUGAAAAGAUUGAUCAAGUCCGGGAUCGUUUGAAGGCGGCGCAAGACAGGCAAAAAUCCUAUGCCGAUAAAAGAAAACGCCCUAUCGAAUUUCAAGAAGGUGAUCGUGUGUUUUUAAAGGUCUCGCCGUGGAAGGGCAUAAUACGGUUCCGCAAACGGGGAAAAUUGGGUCCUCGGUACAUCGGGCCGUUCAGAAUAGUGUCUCGUGUUGGUAAAGUGGCAUACCGGUUAGAAUUACCUCCAGCUCUGGAGGGAAUCCAUAACACGUUUCACGUGUCUCAACUAAGAAAGUGCCUCGCGGAUGAUACAGCGCAUGUGUCACUAGAUGACAUUGAAUUGGAUGAUAAAAUGAAUUAUGUUGAAAAGCCGGUGGCUAUCAAAGAUUCCAAAAUGACGUACCUACGAAACAAAGCCAUGCGAAAAGUGUUAGUACAAUGGCAGCAUCGGAAAGGAUCGGAUCUAACCUGGGAAUCCGAAGAUGAAAUGCGAAAGCACUACCCGUCUCUUUUCGGUACGUAUUAAGGUUUCGGGGACGAAACCUCUUUUAAGGGGGGUAGAUUUGUAACAUCCCAUAAUUUAUAAAAUAGAAUUUUAUAAUACUUAAAAAUAAUUAUAUAUUUGGUUAUGACAUUAGUGUUAAAAACUUAAAGAAAGUUUAUAAAAUAUAGAAUGGGGUAUAAGGAAUCAAUAAACCCAACUUGAGGGCUGUUUGUGUAACAUUAGUAAAAAUGUGAAAUAAGAAAUCAAAACCCAGUAUUGGGUGGGGGUUGUGGAUCGCGACCAGGGGAAAGGAAAGGGGGGAAACCCUAUUUCAUUAGAAGAACUCCAAAUUUCAGCAAAUUAGUAGGGAUUCUUGGUUCAAUUCGAAUGCAUGUGUUAAAUACUCAAUAAUCCAAGUGUCUUGAACCUAAGGAACGAAAGAAGAAGGAGUUAGUUCCGGAUCACAAACAAAGACUCAAGAUCGAGGAAUCCGUAUCGGUCCAUAGUGAUUGGGUCGGUUCGGGUUCGAAUGAGAAGGAAUUUAAUGGAAGUUCUAUCCUUGAUCUGUGCUAAACGGAUUAUUGGAAGCGAAUGAGAAAGAGUUGUGUUAAUUGACUAGAAUAAAAGGGUAAAGCACCCGUAUGAUUGUCUUUGCGCCGCUCGGAUACGAACACACCUUGAUCACCCAUGAUGCGCUUCCGCAACCUUGUAGUAACCUUGUUAGUUUAAGGCUUUUGUCAAAGUUAGUAGUAUUGAAGUUUCAUGUUUUAAAUAGAUGUUGUGAAUACUUAAGUAACUUAAACUUGUUGUUUGAAACGGUAGUCUAAAUGUUAUGGUUUUUCGUAUGGUU
Molecule: RNA transcript, 2304 nt
Organism: Helianthus annuus (common sunflower)
Lineage: Eukaryota; Viridiplantae; Streptophyta; Magnoliopsida; Asterales; Asteraceae
Exons: 4
Source: RefSeq, a predicted model, not a curated record